AAAACAGUAGCGCAUUUGGUAAGUGGUCGAUCUGAGAACAAUGAGACGGGUGCACGCGUGCACAUGAAGAGUCCAUUUUACUUUCUCAGUAUUUGAACGAAAACAACGACUCCCGGUCGGAAUAUUAUCGCUAUUUUACAAGAAAAAUUGCAUAAAAAUUGAUUUUAAACAGCGUUUGACAUGCUUCGAAGUACGGUAAUGGAAUAUUUUGAAUUUUUUUGUCACGAAACACCCUUCGUUACCCUUCGGAUAGUGUCUUGAAUGCACGAACAAAACGCCGCUAUUUGGAUAUAACUAUGGAUUAUUUGGAACCAAACCAACAUUUGUUGUUUACGUAGAAGUCCUGGGAGUGCAUUCUGACGAAGAACAGCAAAGGUGUCAUGGCACGAGAUUUCUUUGAGGAAGAAAUCAUCAAGAGAUAUACUGGACCCUAUAUCAGAGAAGUGUUUCUGGGAUGACAUUGUUUUUUUCAAGACAAUGACCCAAAACACACUGCCGCCCGAGAAGCAUUAGCUGUAUAGCCGAGUGAUCAUUGGGUCAAAAGAGCAGCAAUAGAUGAGUCAGGGUGCCGUUCACUAGUCACUUGUCAGACUGCAAAGUAG
Molecule: long non-coding RNA, 602 nt
Filed under: Salmo salar (Atlantic salmon)
Lineage: Eukaryota; Metazoa; Chordata; Actinopteri; Salmoniformes; Salmonidae
Description: lncRNA (ENSSSAG00000102181.1)
Source: RNAcentral